This 263-nucleotide ribosomal RNA is filed under the name Glomus sp. BSLA-6. RNAcentral's name for it is "partial 18S ribosomal RNA". It matches the Rfam family "Eukaryotic small subunit ribosomal RNA", at positions 624 to 886 of the family's 1831-position model. The record is from RNAcentral. Lineage: Eukaryota; Fungi; Glomeromycota; Glomeromycetes; Glomerales; Glomeraceae.
AAGCUCGUAGUGAAUUUCGGGAUUGACACAUCGGUCGUGCCUUAAGGGGUAUGAACUGGUGUAGUCAAUUUCUCACCUUCUGGAGAACCACGAUGCCCUUAAUUGGGUGUCGCGGGGAACCAGGACCUUUACUUUGAAAAAAUUAGAGUGUUUAAAGCAGGCAUUUUGCUUGAAUACAUUAGCAUGGAAUAAUAAAAUAGGACGGCAUGAUUCUAUUUUGUUGGUUUCUAGGAUCACCGUAAUGAUUAAUAGGGAUAGUUGGG